Molecule: unclassified non-coding RNA, 347 nt
Filed under: soil metagenome
Description: partial contains 5.8S ribosomal RNA, internal transcribed spacer 2, and large subunit ribosomal RNA
Rfam family: 5.8S ribosomal RNA (bases 1-119)
Source: RNAcentral
GAUGAAGAACGUAGCGAAAUGCGAUAAGUAAUGCGAAUUGCAGAAUCCGUGAGUCAUCGAAUCUUUGAACGCACAUUGCGCCCUUUGGUAUUCCGAAGGGCAUGCCUGUUCGAGCGUCAUUAUCACCCCUCAAGCCCCGGCUUGGUGUUGGGCUCUCGGUGGUCGUCUCCGACCACCCGUCUCAGAGAUAGUGACGGCGUCCCAGAGGGAACCGGUACGAGGAGCUUUCACGAGCAUGUACGCGGGACGACUCUGCGGGCGACGGUCUUAUUUACUUUAUAUACAAGUGUUGACCUCGGAUCAGGUAGGAAUACCCGCUGAACUUAAGCAUAUCAAUAAGCGGAGGA